Molecule: non-coding RNA, 26 nt
Filed under: Drosophila erecta
Lineage: Eukaryota; Metazoa; Arthropoda; Insecta; Diptera; Drosophilidae
Also listed under: 1 other name
Source: RNAcentral
UGGCACUACAAGGUCUUCAGGAACUG